AGAGCCCCGCCUGUCCUCGGCCUACCGCGGCGAGCAGGCAUUCCGGGUCAGACCGGCGCGGGGCGCUGCGGCCCAACUCCUUAGUAGGACGACGUGACUCGAGGGGCCGGAGGACGGAGGUGGGAGCCCGGGCUAGAGGGUGGAGGCUGGGGAGGUUGCCUGGUCACUCUGGCGCUCCGCUGCCGGGGGCAUCCUCCGGCCCAGCAAAGGUGCAGCCUGGGAAGAAGGCGUCAGCACCACCCAGAGAAGAGGAGAGGGGACUUGGCACGCCUCAGGAAGGAAAAAAGGAAGGCUCUCGGGACCACCCAAUAAGCAACCGGGAAACCACAUACCAUGGACAGUGCUCGGGGAAUUUCGUAAGGUUUUUGGAAGUAACUUUAUGUGUAACUAGAGUAAGAGUAGCUUACAUUUAAGUGCUAGGAGCAGGACUUUGCUUACCUUAGGUUCAGUUUUCUUAAUAGCUCUGAGGUGGAUAUUUUUAUUCAUCAUUUUCAGAUGAGAUGAGGAAAUCGAGCUUGGGGAAAGUUAGGCUUAUCUUGCCCCUGGCACACAGACAGGGUGGCAGACCAUGCCAUAGAUCUGGUCUGCCACAGGCCCCGGUAGUUCCUGCCUGUCACCCCUCCAGUUGUAUUUUAUUGUUUAUUAACUCCUGCCAGCUACCCUAGCAGGGAAGAGGAAAAAAUUAAAAGUGCAAAGAGCUCCGUAGUUUUGUUCAAAUGGAGGAAGCUGGCAUUGGAAGCUGGCAUUGGCAGCAGCUGCUGAGGCCUGAGAAGGUCCAUGAAGGCUUCCCUGAGAAGAGAAACUUGAUCUGAGCUUGAAGAAUAGAGAGCCUGGGAAGGAGAGGGGCCCAUUUAGCUGGUAAGCAAAAUCCAGUAGGACUCUAAGUCAUUCAGCAAGUCUUCAUCAAUAAAGAAUAGCAAGUAGGCCGGGCGCGGUGGCUCACGCCUGUAAUCCCAGCACUAUGGGAGGCUGAGGCGGGCGGAUCACGAGGUCAGGAGAUCGAGACCAUCCUGGCUAACACGGUGAAACCCCGUCUCUACUAAAAAUACAAAAAAUUAGCCGGGCAUGGUGGCAGGCACCUGUAGUCCCAGCUAUUCGGGAGGCUGAGGCAGGAGAAUGGCUUGAACACGGGAGGUGGAGCUUGCAGUGAGCUGAGAUCACGCCACUGCACUCCAGCCUGGGCGACAGAGUGAGACUCCGUCUAAAAAAAAAAAAGAAAAGAAAAGAAAGAAUAGUAAGUAAUUUAUAUUCAUUUUAAGAGAAUAUAUGUGGGGUGGGGAAGGGGAAGGGUAUGAGUAACAGAGAUGAGGUUGGAAAGACAAGUUGGUGGCAAUAGAUUCUUGUAGGAGUUUGGACAUUAUCCUAAGUGCAAUAUGAAACCAUGAUGGGGUUUCAAGUGAGCAAUGAUGAUUACAUUUGCAUUUUAGAAAAAUCUGCAACAUGAAAGACAAAUUGAAGGAAGAAAGAGAGGCAGGAGACAUUUGGAAGGAGGAAAUAGAAAGCCAAAAUAAAGUAACUGAUUCCAGGCCUGUGCCUAGGGUGUGAAAUACCUUGGGCCUGGUGCUGGCUGGCGGUUUCACUGGUGGAGGUGGUGGUGGGCAGGGGAGAUGGUGUUGGGAGUGGGGUUUAAAUGCACAAAUUCUGGACUUAGUCCUGAGUUCAAAACCUGUUUAUGCCUCUUUCUAGCAAUGAGACCUUAGCUUCUUCUGAAACUCAUUUUAGUUAAGGGGUUUUAGGGGUGGGGGGCUCAGCCCAGAGACCACAACUUAGUCAGUAUGUGUUUUCUUCCUGCUUCCCAUCCAGGGCUCCUCCUCAUCCCUGGAGGUUCCAGGGAUCUGGCAGAGAAAGAAGCCCAGUCUCACAGCAAUGACUCCUGAACAUCCUUUGCAAACACUAUUUAGGACAGAUGGACUGAAGUAGGCCCUGGGGAGAGUUGGGGGCAUUUCCGGAGGCCAGACCAAAGGUGAUCUCCAGGAGAUUUGGAUGUUAGUGCAGGAUAGCUCAGAGCCAAGUGGCAGAUAAGUCUUUGGGAGCCAGAAGGGCUCUUUCUUCUCUAAGGAACAAGUGUAGACCUAUAGGGGCAAGAACCUGUGGCAACCCUGGGAGAGGUCUGCAGAUUCAGGAGGGAACAUCCCAAAACUCAGCAGAGGAGGAGAGGGAGCUUUUGUUGGUCACCUGGAACCACUACCAAUCCAUGUUCAUGUCAAAUUAAAUGAUCACUUUGAAGUUUUUCAGCCUACCAAAAUCAUGUGAAUUUGGUCUGCAAAACCAGACGACUGCCUGCUUGCAGUUAAGAAUUCUCAGCGGGAGGCCGGGCGCAGUGGCUCAUGCCACCAGCACUUUGGGAGGCUGAGGUGGGUGGAUCACGAGGUCAGGAGUUCGAGACCAGCCUGGCUAACACGGUGAAACCCUGUCUCUACUAAAAAUACAAAAGUUAGCCUGGUGUGGUGGCGGGCACCUGUAGUCCCGGCUACUUGGGAAGCUGAGGCAGGAGAAUCUCUUGGACCUGGAAGGUGGAGGUUGCAGUGAGCUGAGAUCGCGCCAUUGCACUCCAGCCUGGGCAACAGAGCGAGACUCUGUCUCAAAAAAAAAAAAAAAAGAAGAAGAAGAAAAAAAAGAAUUCUCAGGGGGAGAUUAUUCCCCUUUCUUAGUACCAAGGUUGGAUGUAGGCAGUUUUCUUUGUAGUCCCCUGGUUUGAGGGAGAGAGGUUAGGUCAGACAGGGGCAGGUUUCUUUCUAAUUCACCUUCACAGUGUAGGCAUACACUGGCCUUUGAGGUCCUGGCCUUAUGGAGAAGUUUCUAAAUAGACUCCCCAUGGUGAGGGGGCCCUGGGCUUUGUCUUUCUCAUAAGCCCAGAGACCCCUUGAAAACCAAUGAUCAGGUUCUCUGGGUUCGGCAACUGCCCUCAAGAUGAAAGCCAAUGACAGAGCUUUGCUUACCUUUGUAGCUUCUUGCUUUCAUUUACUUUUUUGGCCUCAGUGUGUUUCUUACAUUUUUGCUAGCUUAUGGAUGCAUUUAAUUUUAAAGAUAGAUAGAGUCUAGUAUUUAAAGUUGUUUUCAGGAGGAAGUUUAGCCCAAGUCCUUAGGCCACCAUGUUGCAAGAAAACCUAACGGGCAGUUUUCGGUUCUGAUGCAGCUUGAUUUUUGUGCUGCAUCUGGCCCUAUUGACCAGUCCCUCAGCUCUUCUGUUUGGUUUUGUUUUUCCCGACACUCUGACUACUCCUUUUUGGUUUCCUUCACUGGCCCAUCCCUGUUCCUCCACCUGUUCCUUAAAUGUUGGUCCUCCUUAGUCUCCGCUUCUUGUCUUAUGCCUCAUUAUCUCACCACUCCCCUGGCUUCAAGCUGUGACUCCUUGGAUUUCUCCAGCCCAGACUGUCCUGGGUUUCAAACCUGCAUAUUUAGCUGCCUCCUGGCCCUCUGAAGUUGCCACAGGCACCCAAAGUUGAACAUGUACAAAACUGAACUCACAUUUUCCCCACAUCUUACCCCUAUCACAUGCUAAAAUACUACAUCCCCUGUGUUCUGUACCAGUCCCCCAAGCUAGACACCUGGAAACCAUCUCUCAUCCAGCCCUCACCUCUCUUAUUGUCCCUCACAUCUCUUCUGUCCUUGCACAUUUGCUUCUGCCCUAACUCAAGGUACCUGUGCUUGUUGCCUGAACGGCUCUAACUAUGGCAGCUCUAGCUGGCACCCACCUUGCCUCUUCCAUCCAUACUAGACACAGUAGCAAGUGAUCCAUCUGAAACACAUCUCUAACCAAGCCCACUUAAAACCCUUUAGUGGCUCCUUUCAGAGCGAAGGCUGAGCUUCUCGGUAUAACAUUCAAAGCCCUUUGUGACCUCUCCAGUCUUUUGUCUUGAUGAGGACCCUCCCCAAGUCCACCUGAAGUUGCUGGCAAUCCUGGGAGCGCACCAGGCUGUUUCACACUUCCCUGUCUUUGUUCAUGCUACUUCCUCUGUUGAGAAGGCUCUGUGUCAUUCUGGAUGCCAUCAGGAGAGAGACAUCACACAGUCAGCAGGCAGGGAAAGUUCAACAUAAGCAUUUUGAAGUGUAACAGGGAAUUGAAGCUGUGAUGAACUGGCUAGUAAGAAGUAAAUAAAUAAAUAAAUAAACAAAUAAAAAUCUAAAGAAUAUAGGACUAGCAGAGUCUUCAGGCUGAGAUGGAGAGCCCAAGGAAGAGGCCCUCACCUCUCCACUCCAUUCCUGUCCAGGGCUGAGAACCACACCGUGCAGGACAGGACAUGGCCACAAUGAACAGUGUACAUUUAGAAGUGAGAGGAAAUAAAGGCAAUCAGCAAUAACCAGUUCGGGUUCCAUGCCUCUCAUCCACCCUAUAAUCCACCCUGUGCAAACAAACUCAUUUUUCAAGACUCAGUUCAAAUACCACCUUUUCCACAAAGACUUUUCCUCUUCUGCGUCUAUCCAGGAAAAAACUGAUUCCUCUUCCUUUGUGAUUGUAGAAUCUGCCCCCUCCUUGACACACAUACCUAUAACCUCAGUCAUACUUCUACUGGGGUACUUGUUUACCCCUACCUAGGGUUGCCAGAAAAAAAUCAGGACACUUAUUUAUUUUUUUUUUUUUUGAGAUGGAGUCUUGCUCUGUCACCCAGGCUAGAGUUCAGUGUCACGGCUCACUGCAACCUCUGCCUCCCAGGUUCAAGCAAUUCUUCUGCCUCCUGAGUAACUGGGACUACAGGUGUGCACCACCAUCCCCGGCUAAUUUUGUAUUUUUAGUAGAGACAGGGUUUCACCAUAUUGGCCAGGCUGGUCUCAAACUCUUGACCUCGUGAUCCGCCCACCUCGGCCUCCCAAAGUGCUGGGAUUACAGGCAUGAGCCACCGCACCUGGCCAUCUAUUUAAUUUUGAAUAUGAGAUAAACAACAAUUUUUUUUUUUUUGAGAUGGAGUCUCACUCUGUCGCCUAGGCUGGAGUGCAGUGGCACGAUCUCAGCUCACUGCAAGCUCUGCCUCCCAGGUUCACACCAUUCUCCUGAGUAGCUGGGACUACAGGCGCCCACCACCACGCCCAGCUAAUUUUUUGUAUUUUUAGUAGAGACAGGGUUUCACCAUGUUAGCCAGGAUGGUCUCGAUCUUCUGACCUCGUGAUCUGCCCUCCUCGGCCUCCUAAAGUGCUGGGAUUACAGGCGUGAGCCACUGCUCCCAGCCUUUUUUUUUUUUUUUUUUUUUUUUUGAGAUAGAGUCUUAUUCUGUCACCCAGGUUGGAGUGCAGUGGUACGAUUUUGGGCUCAAGCAAUCCUUCCACCUCAGCCUCCCAAGUAGCUGGACCACAGAUGCACGUCACCACACCUGGCUAAGUUUUUGUAUUUUUGGUAGAGACAGGGUUUCACUAUGUUGCCCAGGCUGGUCUUGAAUUCCUGAGCGCUAGCGAUCCACCUGUUUCAGCCUCCCAAAGUGCUGGGAUUACAGGGGUGAGCCACCACGCCCAGCCAAUUUUUUUGUAUAAGUAUGUCUCAAUUAUUGCAUUGGACAUACUGAAAACAAGUAUUUAGGCCAGGCAUGGUGACUCGCACCUGUAAUCCGAGCACUUUGGGAGGCCAAUGUGGGAGGAUCUCUUGAACUCAGGAGUUCGAGACCAGCCUGGGUAACAUAGCAAGAGCCCAUCUCUACCAAAAAAAUAAAAAUUAAAAAAAUUUAAAAAUUAGCCAGUCGUGGUAGAAUGCACCUGUAGUCUUAGCUAGUUAGGAGGCUAAGGUGAGAGGAUCGCUUGAGCCCAGGAGGUGGAGGUUGCAGUGAACUGAGAUCACACCACUGCACUCCAGCCCGAGGGACACAGCAAGACCCUAUCUAAAAAAAAAAAAGGUGUAUUUAUUGUUUACCUUAAAUCCAUUUUUUUUUUUGAGACAGAGUCUCACUUUGUCGCCAGGCUAGAGUGCAGUGGCACAAUCUUGGCUCACUGCAACCUCUGCCUCCCGGGUUCAAGCGAUUCUCCUGCCUCAGCCUCCCAAGUAGCUGGGACUACAGGUGCGUGCCACCACGCCCAGCUAAUUUUUAUAUUUUUAGUAGAGACCGGGUUUUACCAUGUUGGCUAGGGUGGUCUCACUCUCUUGACCUCAUGAUCCGCCCACCUCAGCCUCCCAAAGUGCUGGGAUUACAGGCAUGAGUCACCACGCAGGGCCUGAAAUCCAAAUUUAACAGGAUGUCUUUUACUUUUAUUUGCUACCCUACCCCUACUUCCAUCUCCAAGUAUAGUUUCCUUGAUGGCAAAACAUGUUUCUCACUGGUCUCUGAAUCCCUGAAACUAGCCCAGUGCACGACAGUUCAUGCUCGGUUAAUAUGAAGAGAAGGCAACUUAUCUGGCUGCAGCGCUGAGAAUGGUUGGAGGGAGUUGUGACUGGAGACAGUGAGACCAGGUAGGAGGAUGAGGAAUAAACCAUCCAAAAAAUUAUGAAGGCUUCAGCAGAAUAGCACUGGGGAUAGGGAAAGGGGAUGGAUCUGCAGGAUCUAAGGAUUUGGUGACCAAUGCUUAAGGGACAUGACAGAGCUUAAGGAGCCUAGGAGAUUGCCCAAGUUUCUGGCUGUGUCACUGGAUGAGGUUGGUGCACUCACUGAGCAGGGAACACUGGGGAGGGUCUGGAAGCUGGACAGCAGGGAAGCUCAUUGAUGUGAGGAGCAGAGCAGGCUGGAGAAGGGUGGACAGCAGAUCUGAAGGAGGAAACGGAAGACAUCCAGUAUGGAUAUGUUAAGCUUGAUGUCUCCCAGGAUAUACAGAUAGAGGUAUUGGAAUUACAGACUUGGGGCUCAGGUGAAUGUUCUAGGCUGGAGAUAAAAUGUGAGCAUGGUUAGCAUGGAGGUGGUAACUGAAACCACGGGAGUAGACAGUGCUGCUCAGGGAGAGAGUAGAAUGGGAAGAGGAGAGAGAGUCGGUAUCAGAGCUCUGAGGAACAUGAGAGGCAGAGAGAGGAAGAGGAACUCAGAAGUCGUCUGAGAACAAGCCUCUGGAGGAGUGGAAGGAGAACCCGGAGAGUAUUGGACCAAGAGAGUCACGGGAAGACAGGUUUUCAAGGAGGACUGACACUAUCGAAUGCUUCUGAGACUUCAAAGGACUAAAUGGCCUUUGGCUUUAGUAUUGACCAGAGUCACCUGUGGCCCCAGGAGCUACAAUGUGCCACCUGGUGACAGGUUAUAGCUACUAUGUGGUAAACAGAGGAGGGAAGGUGGAACUAAGGAUCCCGAAUCCGUUUGGAGGCAGAGAGGGGCCAACAGGGUGUUUGAAGGGAGCAAAGGCAUCGAAAUUUUUGGAGCAUCUAGAACUGGGGCAGUGAAUGCAGAAGAGUGGGAGCACACACACGUUUCUCCUCCUUGACCCAGAAUGGGCACAGCCUUCAGAGAGCUCUUGCCAGCUCCUCACUCUAGCCUGGGUGAAGGGGGCAUCUGUGCCAAAGCAGGAAGGCACACAGGCGGAUUGGAAGGAAUUUCUCUCAGCAGCGUCAAAUGCCUGAGGGAUCUCGCCCUCGACCCUCUCCAUCUCUCAUGGUACUCUCAUUCACCCCCGGCUGCAGCUCCUGCCUCUGUGCUGACAGCUGUCACAUCAAUCCAGCCCAGACCUCCCUCGGCAGCUCUAGACCAGCAGAUCCCACUGCCUCCUGACAACCCCUCUGGAUGUCCCACAGUUCCUCAGACUUAGCAUCCUUUCCAAAUCCAUGCCCCCAUCUCAUUUCCAAAAAAGAAAAAUCAUAGAGGCCUCCCCAAUACAAAUGCAUAGGACAUGGGAAACAAGGUUUGAAAGGAUAUCCAGAAAAGCUUAGGGAUAGCCCUGGCCUUUUGGAGGUGACUUGGGGGUGGUAUGAGAGGCCAGAGUCAGCAGUAACUUCUCCUUUCUUCCCCACGAAGGUGUGGACUUCUUAGCUUCCUGUCCUUUUCGUACCAUUUGCCAAAUUGAAUUUAAAUAAUUAUUACUGUAAUUGCUUACUUAUUGUCUGUCUCUCCUGGUUGAAGCUUCUCAAGGGCAGGGAUCAUGUCUGUUUCACUUCUGUAUCCUUGGCAUCUGUCAUAUAAUCAGUAUCUGACAUAUAAUAGGUGCUUAAUAAAUAUUUGUUUGAAUUAAUGAAUAUCCUUGUUCAUCACCCAAGAUGCAGAUCCUGCUGGGGCCCUUAUCUUUUCCUGCCUCCUUAUCCACAUGGAGCUCUGUGCUUUGCUCACCGGAGCCAGCACCCCACCGCACCCUCUACCAACCCUCGGUUUUUUUCAGAUGCCCUCAUGCCCUGGGCUGCUUCAUGGAAUGUGGAUAGUGAGUUAACCAUGCUGGCCUGUCUGCAAGCAGAGGCAUGUGUAUAUCUGACAAGGCACCCUCAAGACAAUUCCCUGGAUG
This 8328-nucleotide long non-coding RNA is filed under the name Homo sapiens (human). RNAcentral describes it as "non-protein coding lnc-SLC6A9-2:5". The record is from RNAcentral. Lineage: Eukaryota; Metazoa; Chordata; Mammalia; Primates; Hominidae.